RNAcentral lists this ribosomal RNA (441 nucleotides) under uncultured bacterium. RNAcentral's name for it is "partial 16S ribosomal RNA". It matches the Rfam family "Bacterial small subunit ribosomal RNA", at positions 338 to 795 of the family's 1533-position model. The record is from RNAcentral.
CCUACGGGCGGCUGCAGUGGGGAAUAUUGCACAAUGGGGGAAACCCUGAUGCAGCGACGCCGCGUGAGUGAAGAAGUAUUUCGGUAUGUAAAGCUCGAUCAGCAGGGAAGAAGAAAGACGGUACCUGACUAAGAAGCCCCGGCUAACUACGUGCCAGCAGCCGCGGGAAUACGUAGGGGGCAAGCGUUAUCCGGAUUUACGGGGGGUAAGGGGAGCGUAGACGGCUGUGCAAGUCUGAAGUGAAAGCCCCUGGCUCAACCCUGGGACUGCUUUGGAAACUGUGGAGCUAGAGUGCUGGAGAGGUAAGUGGAAUUCCUAGUGUAGCGGUGAAAUGCUUAGAUAUUAGGCGGAACACCAGUGGCGAAGGCGGCUUACUGGACAGUAACUGACGUUGAGGCUCGAAAGCGUGGGGAGCAAACAGGAUUAGAUACCCCAGUAGUC